Molecule: non-coding RNA, 290 nt
Organism: Pelobates cultripes (western spadefoot toad)
Lineage: Eukaryota; Metazoa; Chordata; Amphibia; Anura; Pelobatidae
Source: the annotation of a GenBank genome assembly
ACUAGUACCAAUCCAAAUCACCAGGCGUGAUCCCAUCACUAGUACCAAUCCAAAUCACCAGGCAUGAUCCCAUCACUAGUAUCAAUCCAAAUCACCAGGCGUGAUCCCAUCACUAGUACCAAUCCAAAUCACCAGGCGUGAUCCCAUCACUAGUAUCAAUCCAAAUCACCAGGCGUGAUCCCAUCACUAGUACCAAUCCAAAUCACCAGGUGUGAUCCUAUCACUAGUACCAAUCCAAAUCACCAGGCGUGAUCCCAUCACUAGUACCAAUCCAAAUCACCAGGCGUGAU